GAUGAACGCUGGCGGCGUGCCUAAUACAUGCAAGUCGAGCGAACAGACGAGGAGCUUGCUCCGCUGACGUUAGCGGCGGACGGGUGAGUAACACGUGGAUAACCUACCUAUAAGACUGGGGUAACUUCGGGAAACCGGAGCUAAUACCGGAAAAUAUAUUGAACCGCAAGGUUCAAUAGUGAAAGACGGUUUUGCUGUCAAUUAUAGAUGGACCCGCGCCGCAUUAGCUAGUUGGUAAGGUAACGGCUUACCAAGGCAACGAUGCGUAGCCGAUCUGAGAGGGUGAUCGGCCACACUGGAACUGAGACACGGUCCAGACUCCUACGGGAGGCAGCAGUAGGGAAUCUUCCGCAAUGGGCGAAAGCCUGACGGAGCAACGCCGCGUGAGUGAUGAAGGUCUUCGGAUCGUAAAACUCUGUUAUUAGGGAAGAACAAAUGUGUAAGUAACUAUGCACGUCUUGACGGUACCUAAUCAGAAAGCCACGGCUAACUACGUG
This 497-nucleotide ribosomal RNA is filed under the name uncultured bacterium. Its description in RNAcentral is "partial 16S ribosomal RNA". It matches the Rfam family "Bacterial small subunit ribosomal RNA", at positions 28 to 507 of the family's 1533-position model. The record is from RNAcentral.